This 803-nucleotide ribosomal RNA is filed under the name Bradyrhizobiaceae bacterium URHD0020. RNAcentral's name for it is "bacterial SSU rRNA". It matches the Rfam family "Bacterial small subunit ribosomal RNA", at positions 56 to 905 of the family's 1533-position model. The record is from RNAcentral. Lineage: Bacteria; Pseudomonadati; Pseudomonadota; Alphaproteobacteria; Hyphomicrobiales; Nitrobacteraceae.
UGCAGUCGAGCGCCUGUAGCAAUACAGGAGCGGCAGACGGGUGAGUAACGCGUGGGAACGUACCCUUUGGUUCGGAACAACACAGGGAAACUUGUGCUAAUACCGGAUAAGCCCUUACGGGGAAAGAUUUAUCGCCGAAGGAUCGGCCCGCGUCUGAUUAGCUUGUUGGUGAGGUAACGGCUCACCAAGGCUACGAUCAGUAGCUGGUCUGAGAGGAUGAUCAGCCACACUGGGACUGAGACACGGCCCANACUCCUACGGGAGGCAGCAGUGGGGAAUAUUGGACAAUGGGCGAAAGCCUGAUCCAGCCAUGCCGCGUGAGUGAUGAAGGCCCUAGGGUUGUAAAGCUCUUUCGGCGGGGAAGAUAAUGACGGUACCCGCAUAAGAAGCCCCGGCUAACUUCGUGCCAGCAGCCGCGGUAAUACGAAGGGGGCUAGCGUUGCUCGGAAUCACUGGGCGUAAAGGGUGCGUAGGCGGGUCUUUAAGUCAGGGGUGAAAUCCUGGAGCUCAACUCCAGAACUGCCUUUGAUACUGAGGAUCUUGAGUUCGGGAGAGGUGAGUGGAACUGCGAGUGUAGAGGUGAAAUUCGUAGAUAUUCGCAAGAACACCAGUGGCGAAGGCGGCUCACUGGCCCGAUACUGACGCUGANGCACGAAAGCGUGGGGAGCAAACAGGAUUAGAUACCCUGGUAGUCCACGCCUUAANNGAUGAAUGCCAGCCGUUGGUGGGUUUACUCACCAGUGGCGCANCUAACGCUUUAAGCAUUCCGCCUGGGGAGUACGGUCGCAAGANUAAAACUCAAA